This 77-nucleotide transfer RNA is filed under the name Mollicutes bacterium. RNAcentral's name for it is "tRNA-Pro". It matches the Rfam family "tRNA". From Rfam's summary of the family: Transfer RNA (tRNA) molecules are approximately 80 nucleotides in length. Their secondary structure includes four short double-helical elements and three loops (D, anti-codon, and T loops). The record is from RNAcentral. Lineage: Bacteria; Bacillati; Mycoplasmatota; Mollicutes. RNAcentral also lists the same sequence under 2 other names.
CGGGACGUAGCACAGCUUGGUAGUGCACUUGGUUAGGGACCAAGGGGUCAUGGGUUCAAAUCCCAUCGUUCCGACCA